RNAcentral lists this ribosomal RNA (940 nucleotides) under Desmodesmus subspicatus. RNAcentral's name for it is "eukaryotic LSU rRNA". The stretch from base 1 to 325 matches the Rfam family "Eukaryotic small subunit ribosomal RNA", at positions 1512 to 1831 of the family's 1831-position model. Lineage: Eukaryota; Viridiplantae; Chlorophyta; Chlorophyceae; Sphaeropleales; Scenedesmaceae. The record is from RNAcentral.
UCAACAAGCCCUUUCCCUAGCCGAAAAGGCUCGGGUAAUCCUUUGAACCUUCCAUUGGUGAUGGGGAUAGAUUACUGCCAAUUAUUAGUCUUUCAACGAGGACUGCCUAGUAAGCGCAAUUCCAUCAGAUUGCGUUGAUUACGUCCCUGCCCUUGUACACACCGCCCGUCGCUCCUACCGAUUGGGUGUGCUGGUGAAAGUGUUCGGAUUGGCAAUUAUCGGUGGCAACACCGUCGAUUGCCGAGAAGUUCAUUAAACCCUCCCACCUAGAGGAAGGAGAAGUCGUAACAAGGUUUCCGUAGGUGAACCUGCGGAAGGAUCAUUGAAUAUGCAAACCACAACACGCACUCUUUUAUUUGUGUACCGACGUUAGGUCGAACCACUAACCCUGGUUUGGCCUACUAACCUACACACACACCAUUGACCAACAUUUGAUUAAACCAAACUCUGAAGUUUCAGCUGCUGUUAAUCGGCAGUUUUAACGAAAACAACUCUCAACAACGGAUAUCUUGGCUCUCGCAACGAUGAAGAACGCAGCGAAAUGCGAUACGUAGUGUGAAUUGCAGAAUUCCGUGAACCAUCGAAUCUUUGAACGCAUAUUGCGCUCGACUCCUCGGAGAAGAGCAUGUCUGCCUCAGCGUCGGUUUACACCCUCACCCCUCUUCCUCAACAGGAAGCUUGUCGUGCUUGCUCAAGCCGGCAUCAGGGGUGGAUCUGGCCCUCCCAAUCGGACUCACCUCCGAUUGGGUUGGCUGAAGCACAGAGGCUUAAACUGGGACCCGAUUCGGGCUCAACUGGAUAGGUAGCAACACCCUCGGGUGCCUACACGAAGUUGUGUCUGAGGACCUGGUUAGGAGCCAAGCAGGAAACGUGUCUCUGACGCGUAUCUCUGUAUUCGACCUGAGCUCAGGCAAGGCUAUUAUGAGAGCGGCUGCCUGUC